RNAcentral lists this unclassified non-coding RNA (334 nucleotides) under soil metagenome. Its description in RNAcentral is "partial contains 5.8S ribosomal RNA, internal transcribed spacer 2, and large subunit ribosomal RNA". The stretch from base 1 to 120 matches the Rfam family "5.8S ribosomal RNA", at positions 35 to 154 of the family's 154-position model. The record is from RNAcentral.
GAUGAAGAACGUAGCGAAAUGCGAUAAGUAAUGUGAAUUGCAGAAUUCAGUGAAUCAUCGAAUCUUUGAACGCACAUUGCGCCCGCCAGUAUUCUGGCGGGCAUGCCUGUUCGAGCGUCAUUUCAACCAUCAAGCCCUGCUUGCGUUGGGGUCCUGCGGCUGCCCGCAGGCCCUGAAAACCAGUGGCGGGCUCGCUAGUCACACCGAGCGCAGUAAUACAUCUCGCUUUGGGCGUGCGGCGGGUUCUUGCCGUUAAACGCCCCCUUUUUACCAAGGUUGACCUCGGAUCAGGUAGGAAUACCCGCUGAACUUAAGCAUAUCAAUAAGCGGAGGA